RNAcentral lists this long non-coding RNA (200 nucleotides) under Elaeis guineensis (African oil palm). Its description in RNAcentral is "long non-coding RNA (EGUI_LNC016331)". Lineage: Eukaryota; Viridiplantae; Streptophyta; Magnoliopsida; Arecales; Arecaceae. The record is from RNAcentral.
CUCUGGAAAAACUAAGAUAAGGUAUGACUAAUCAAUCAGACUCUAGUAUAUACUUUUCAUGUAUCUAUGAUCUCUAAAUUAGCAAAUCAAUAACACUGCCAAAUCUCCACUAAUUACGUGAUUUCUAUUAUAAGCUUUCUAUCUAUUGUAUAAUUUCCAAACAGAUCCUAACCCCACCUAAACCCGACCCAAUCAACCUC